UACGUAGGGACCAAGCGUUGUUCGGAUUUACUGGGCGUAAAGGGCGCGUAGGCGGCAUGACAAGUCACUUGUGAAAUCUCUGGGCUUAACCCAGAACGGCCAAGUGAUACUGUCGCGCUAGAGUGCGGAAGGGGCAAUCGGAAUUCUUGGUGUAGCGGUGAAAUGCGUAGAUAUCAAGAGGAACACCUGAGGUGAAGACGGGUUGCUGGGCCGACACUGACGCUGAGGCGCGAAAGCCAGGGGAGCAAACAGG
Molecule: ribosomal RNA, 253 nt
Filed under: uncultured bacterium
Lineage: Bacteria
Description: partial 16S ribosomal RNA
Rfam family: Bacterial small subunit ribosomal RNA
Source: RNAcentral